Molecule: ribosomal RNA, 429 nt
Filed under: Bacteroidota bacterium
Lineage: Bacteria; Pseudomonadati; Bacteroidota
Description: Bacteroidetes bacterium partial 16S ribosomal RNA
Rfam family: Bacterial small subunit ribosomal RNA
Source: RNAcentral
UAGGGAAUCUUCGGCAAUGGGGGGAACCCUGACCGAGCAACGCCGCGUGAGUGAAGAAGGUUUUCGGAUCGUAAAGCUCUGUUGUUAAGGAAGAACGAGUGUGAGAAUGGAAAGUUCAUACUGUGACGGUACUUAACCAGAAAGGGACGGCUAACUACGUGCCAGCAGCCGCGGUAAUACGUAGGUCCCGAGCGUUUUCCGGAUUUAUUGGGCGUAAAGCGAGCGCAGGCGGUUAGAUAAGUCUGAAGUUAAAGGCAGUGGCUCAACCAUUGUAGGCUUUGGAAACUGUUUAACUUGAGUGCAGAAGGGGAGAGUGGAAUUCCAUGUGUAGCGGUGAAAUGCGUAGAUAUAUGGAGGAACACCGGUGGCGAGAGCGGCUCUCUGGUCUGUAACUGACGCUGAGGCUCGAAAGCGUGGGGAGCGAACAGG